Molecule: ribosomal RNA, 404 nt
Filed under: uncultured bacterium
Lineage: Bacteria
Description: bacterial SSU rRNA
Rfam family: Bacterial small subunit ribosomal RNA
Source: RNAcentral
AGCGAACGUUUGCGGCGGGCUUAACACAUGCAAGUCGAACGGGCUGUUCCUUCGGGGGCAGUCAGUGGCGCACGGGUGCGUAACACGUAGGUAAUCAACCCUCUGGUUGGGGAUAACACUUCGAAAGGAGUGCUAAUACCCGGUAUGGCGCAGCGGUCUUCGGAUCGCGGCGAGAAAGACCCGCAAGGGUUGCCAGAGGACGAGCCUGCGGCCCAUCAGCUAGUUGGCGAGGUAACGGCUCACCAAGGCGAAGACGGGUAGCUGGUCUGAGAGGAUGAUCAGCCACACUGGAACUGAGACACGGUCCAGACUCCUACGGGAGGCAGCAGUGGGGAAUAUUGCGCAACGGGCGAAAGCCUGACGCAGCCACGCCGCGUGAGCGAUGAAGGCCUCGGUCGUAAGAC